This 253-nucleotide ribosomal RNA is filed under the name uncultured bacterium. RNAcentral's name for it is "partial 16S ribosomal RNA". It matches the Rfam family "Bacterial small subunit ribosomal RNA", at positions 524 to 776 of the family's 1533-position model. The record is from RNAcentral.
UACGUAGGGUGCAAGCGUUGUCCGGAAUUAUUGGGCGUAAAGAGCUUGUAGGCGGUUUGUCGCGUCUGCUGUGAAAUUUCGGGGCUCAACCCCGAACUUGCAGUGGGUACGGGCAGACUAGGGUGUGGUAGGGGAGACUGGAAUUCCUGGUGUAGCGGUGAAAUGCGCAGAUAUCAGGAGGAACACCGAUUGCGAAGGCAGCUCGCUGGGACGUAACUGACGCUGAGACGCGAAAGCGUGGGGAGCAAACAGG